This 831-nucleotide ribosomal RNA is filed under the name Staphylococcus aureus. RNAcentral's name for it is "partial 23S ribosomal RNA". It matches the Rfam family "Bacterial large subunit ribosomal RNA", at positions 599 to 1435 of the family's 2925-position model. The record is from RNAcentral. Lineage: Bacteria; Bacillati; Bacillota; Bacilli; Caryophanales; Staphylococcaceae.
GCGUGCCUUUUGUAGAAUGAACCGGCGAGUUACGAUUUGAUGCAAGGUUAAGCAGUAAAUGUGGAGCCGUAGCGAAAGCGAGUCUGAAUAGGGCGUUUAGUAUUUGGUCGUAGACCCGAAACCAGGUGAUCUACCCUUGGUCAGGUUGAAGUUCAGGUAACACUGAAUGGAGGACCGAACCGACUUACGUUGAAAAGUGAGCGGAUGAACUGAGGGUAGCGGAGAAAUUCCAAUCGAACCUGGAGAUAGCUGGUUCUCUCCGAAAUAGCUUUAGGGCUAGCCUCAAGUGAUGAUUAUUGGAGGUAGAGCACUGUUUGGACGAGGGGCCCCUCUCGGGUUACCGAAUUCAGACAAACUCCGAAUGCCAAUUAAUUUAACUUGGGAGUCAGAACAUGGGUGAUAAGGUCCGUGUUCGAAAGGGAAACAGCCCAGACCACCAGCUAAGGUCCCAAAAUAUAUGUUAAGUGGAAAAGGAUGUGGCGUUGCCCAGACAACUAGGAUGUUGGCUUAGAAGCAGCCAUCAUUUAAAGAGUGCGUAAUAGCUCACUAGUCGAGUGACACUGCGCCGAAAAUGUACCGGGGCUAAACAUAUUACCGAAGCUGUGGAUUGUCCUUUGGACAAUGGUAGGAGAGCGUUCUAAGGGCGUUGAAGCAUGAUCGUAAGGACAUGUGGAGCGCUUAGAAGUGAGAAUGCCGGUGUGAGUAGCGAAAGACGGGUGAGAAUCCCGUCCACCGAUUGACUAAGGUUUCCAGAGGAAGGCUCGUCCGCUCUGGGUUAGUCGGGUCCUAAGCUGAGGCCGACAGGCGUAGGCGAUGGAUAACAGGUUGAUA